CUACGGGGCGCACCAGGUGCGAAAAUUUUCCAAUGCACGCAAGUGUGAGAGAGGAAUCUUGAGUGUUUUUGUUAAUACAAAAACUUUUGCGUACUUUAAAAAGGUACGAGAAUAAGGGCUGGGCAAGAUCGGUGCCAGCAGCCGCGGUAAUCCCGACGGCCCAAGUGGGACUCACAAUUAUUGGGUCUAAAACAUUCGUAGCCGGCUUUUCAAGUUUUGUGUUAAAUUGCAAGGCUUAACCUUGCAGCUGCACAAAAUACUGAAUCGCUAGGGACUGGGAGACGUAAUGAGUACAUCGAGGGGAGUAGUAAAAUAUGUUAAUCCUCGCUGGACUAACAAUGGCGAAGGCACGUUACGAGAACAGAUCCGACGGUGAGGAAUGAAGGCCAGGGGCGCAAAAUGGAUUAGAUACCCGAGUAGUC
RNAcentral lists this ribosomal RNA (422 nucleotides) under uncultured archaeon. Its description in RNAcentral is "partial 16S ribosomal RNA". It matches the Rfam family "Archaeal small subunit ribosomal RNA", at positions 323 to 746 of the family's 1478-position model. The record is from RNAcentral.